GAUAAACGCUGGCGGCGCACAUAAGACAUGCAAGUCGAACGGACUUAACCUUUAGUUUACUAUUGGAGCGGUUAGUGGCGGACUGGUGAGUAACACGUAAGCAACCUGCCUAUCAGAGGGGAAUAACAGUUAGAAAUGACUGCUAAUACCGCAUAUGCCUUGAGUAACACAUGUUACAAAAGGGAAAGGAGCAAUCCGCUGAUAGAUGGGCUUGCGUCUGAUUAGAUAGUUGGUGGGGUAACGGCCGUACCAAGUCGACGAUCAGUAGCCGGACUGAGAGGUUGAACGGCCACAUUGGGACUGAGAUACGGCCCAG
Molecule: ribosomal RNA, 316 nt
Filed under: uncultured bacterium
Lineage: Bacteria
Description: bacterial SSU rRNA
Rfam family: Bacterial small subunit ribosomal RNA
Source: RNAcentral